CCCGCAACGAGCGCACCCCUUAUCCUUUGUUGCCAGCGCGUCAUGGUGGGAACUCAAAGGAGACUGCCGGUGAUAAACCGGAGGAAGGUGGGGAUGACGUCAAGUCAUCAUGGCCCUUACGAGUAGGGCUACACACGUGCUACAAUGGCAUAUACAAAGAGAAGCGAACUCGCGAGAGCAAGCGGACCUCAUAAAGUAUGUCGUAGUCCGGAUCGGAGUCUGCAACUCGACUCCGUGAAGUCGGAAUCGCUAGUAAUCGUAGAUCAGAAUGCUACGGUGAAUACGUU
Molecule: ribosomal RNA, 287 nt
Filed under: Serratia fonticola
Lineage: Bacteria; Pseudomonadati; Pseudomonadota; Gammaproteobacteria; Enterobacterales; Yersiniaceae
Description: partial 16S ribosomal RNA
Rfam family: Bacterial small subunit ribosomal RNA
Source: RNAcentral